CGCAUCUGUGCAUGCAGCAUAUCAAUAAGCGGAGGAAAAGAAACUAACAAGGAUUCCCUUAGUAACGGCGAGUGAAGCGGGAAGAGCUCAAAUUUGAAAUCUUCAAGGUUUUACCUUGACGAAUUGUAGUUUAAAGAAGUGUUUUCUGUUGAAGUUUUGGUAAAAGUUCUUUGGAAUAGGACAUCAUAGAGGGUGAGAAUCCCGUAUUUGACCAUUAUUUUCAGCUGUGUGAUACACUUUCAAAGAGUCGGAUUGUUUGGGAAUGCAGUCCAAAAUGGGUGGUAAAUUUCAUCUAAAGCUAAAUAUUGGCGAGAGACCGAUAGCGAACAAGUACCGUGAGGGAAAGAUGAAAAGAACUUUGAAAAGAGAGUUAAACAGUACGUGAAAUUGUCAAAAGGGAAGCGUUUGACACCAGUGUUGUUUUCUCGAAAAUCAAUUAAAAGAGUUUGAUUUUGUUGUGUAUUGACCUUAACAGCUUGCAUUUCAAUUUUCUUGCUUUUUUUAAUGCACUUUUCGUUUAACAAGUCAACAUCAGUUUCUUUUGUUGUAAAAAGGUCAUUGGAAGGUGGCUUUCUUUUCGGAGAAAGUGUUUAGUAGCCUUUGACUCCUGCAAUCGGAGAGACUGAGGUCUGCAGCGUAGAUCCUUCGGGGUUAGAUACAUUGUGCUAAGUUAUAGCUUUUUAUAGACAACUUGUUGACUAUGAUUAGUCUUGUAGCUUACUCGCUUAUGCUAUUUUACCUACGCUUAGGAUGUUGACACACGCGCGUGCUCG
This 773-nucleotide ribosomal RNA is filed under the name uncultured Neocallimastigales. RNAcentral's name for it is "partial large subunit ribosomal RNA". It matches the Rfam family "Eukaryotic large subunit ribosomal RNA", at positions 26 to 644 of the family's 3401-position model. The record is from RNAcentral. Lineage: Eukaryota; Fungi; Neocallimastigomycota; Neocallimastigomycetes; Neocallimastigales.